Molecule: ribosomal RNA, 489 nt
Filed under: Triticum aestivum (bread wheat)
Lineage: Eukaryota; Viridiplantae; Streptophyta; Magnoliopsida; Poales; Poaceae
Description: partial small subunit ribosomal RNA
Source: RNAcentral
AUGUAUUUUAGUUGUAGAUGCAUCCAUUUUGAUGACAAGUAUUUCCGGACGGAGGGAGUAGUAAAAUUACCAAAAUUCUUACAAAAUAUUCUGCAAGUUUUGUUUGCCGCUGCUCAGUCAAGCAAAGCCAACUGCUCGCCACUAUAUGUGGUUCUCUUGCCAUGUCAUGGGGUGCAACCACAAGUGGCACAAGAGUGUAGUUGUGGUGUUCUAAAAUUUACUGAUGUUGAUGUUUCUUUUCAAGAUUGUGGUAUUGUUUACCAAUUUGGUCCCCGGAUUAUGUACUCAUUUCCUUUUCUAUUCUUUGUAGAUAAUUUGCUUCAGUUAAUCGAACUACAUGCUGAAACAUGUGUAUUGUUUCUCAAUAUAUUGGGCAUCAAUUCACCCCUCAUGAGAUCUCUGAAUUUUCUACGCAUAUUGUAUUUGCUGAAUUAUUUCCUCCAGAUAACUAUGCUUGGAUUCACAAAUGCGUGCAAUGCUUUCAAGUAG